UCCUUUGUAGCUCAGUUGGUAGAGUCUGACUGCAAUGCAGGAGACCUGGGUUCAAUUCCUGGGUAGGGAA
Molecule: transfer RNA, 70 nt
Filed under: Bos taurus (domestic cattle)
Lineage: Eukaryota; Metazoa; Chordata; Mammalia; Artiodactyla; Bovidae
Also listed under: 1 other name
Rfam family: tRNA
About the family: Transfer RNA (tRNA) molecules are approximately 80 nucleotides in length. Their secondary structure includes four short double-helical elements and three loops (D, anti-codon, and T loops).
Source: Rfam by way of RNAcentral